UCAUGUGAGAUUACCCGCUGAAUUUAAGCAUAUUACUUAGCGGAGGAAAAGAAACUAACAAGGAUUCCCUUAGUAGCGGCGAGCGAAACGGGAAAAGUCCAGCACUGAAUCCCUCGUCCAUUGGGCGAUGGGAAAUGUAGUGUUUGGGAGUGUCCGUUAACUCGAAGCUAAACAGCUAGUCCAAGUCCGAUCUUUAAUGGGGCCAUUGCCCAUAGAGGGUGCCAGGCCCGUAGAGGCAGCUGUUGGCUUCGAGCGUGGGCGUCUCCUUAGAGUCGGGUUGCUUGAGAGUGCAGCCCUAAGCCGGUGGUAUACUCCAUCUAAGACUAAAUAUGACCACGAGACCGAUAGCAAACAAGUACCGUGAGGGAAAGUUGAAAAGAACUUUGAAGAGAGAGUUCAAUAGUACGUGAAACCGUUUAGGGGUAAACACGUGAAACUCGAUUCUAGUGCAGGGAGAUUCAGUAUUGGCCGCGGCGGUCGUGCCGGAUGUUUGGUGAGUCGGUUGUGCAAACUCUGGUUUCGGCUAGGGCGCGUGCACCAUUGCCCGUUCGGUAUUGUGCCGUUGCAUGUGCCAGUACGCACUUCUCCCUGCGUAUACUACGUCGCGACCGGUUGGUAUUAUGGGUGAUUGAAUUCACCUCGUGGGGACCUACGGCCCGUGUCGCAGCCUGGUUCGGUCUUAGCGUUCUUGUAAUGCGGACCGGCCAGAGGCAUGGUGUUUCCCGGAUCCCUCACCGACCGUAGCAAAUGAAGGUGGUAGCCCGCGCUACGUGCGCGUCCAUAGUCGCUUUCGGUCUUAAUGCGGUCGUGUUUGCCGGUCACCGAACGGGCUUGUCCCUUCGGCCUGUGCCACGUCGUGUUUGUAGGACCGAUCGAGUCAACAUUUGGACCGUGGCUUUACUUACACCAGUCAUGCGACGCUUUUGUAUCGGGCAGAUUACGUGACCCGUCUUGUAACACGGACCAAGGAGUCUAACAUCUAUGCGAGUGUUCGGGUGUCAAACCCCUGCGCGUAAUGAAAGUGAACGGAGGUGGGAACCCGCAAGGGUGCACCAUCGACCGAUCCUGAUGUCUUCGGAUGGAUUUGAGUAAGAGCAUAGCUGUUGGGACCCGAAAGAUGGUGAACUAUGCCUGAAUAGGGUGAAGCCAGAGGAAACUCUGGUGGAGGCUCGCAGCGGUUCUGACGUGCAAAUCGAUCGUCAAAUUUGGGUAUAGGGGCGAAAGACUAAUCGAACCAUCUAGUAGCUGGUUCCCUCCGAAGUUUCCCUCAGGAUAGCUGGAGCAGAACAGUUUUAUCAGGUAAAGCGAAUGAUUCGA
RNAcentral lists this ribosomal RNA (1317 nucleotides) under Aurantiochytrium limacinum. Its description in RNAcentral is "partial Eukaryotic large subunit ribosomal RNA". It matches the Rfam family "Eukaryotic large subunit ribosomal RNA", at positions 11 to 1025 of the family's 3401-position model. The record is from RNAcentral. Lineage: Eukaryota; Bigyra; Thraustochytrida; Thraustochytriidae.